AAAAUAAAAAAAUUCAAAAUGAAUAAAUAAAUCAAAUUUAAUAUUAAAUUUUAAAAACAAAAAAAUAAUAAUUUAAGUCCUCCUAUCAACCAAAUAAUACCAAUUAAUAAAUAAACAAUUUUUAUUUAAAUAUAGAUCUAUCAUAUAAAUCAAGUUAAUUAUAAAGAAUAUAAAUAUUUUAAAAAUCUAUUCAUGACAACAAUAAAUAAAAAUUAAUUAUUUAAACUUAAAAGUGCAAAUUCCUUUAAAUACAAAUUAAUCUAAUUUAAAUUUACCGCCAAAUUUAAUAAUUUUAAAUAAAUAUAAUCCUCGUUUAUAAACAAAAAUAUUUGGUUUAUAUAAAUAGGGUAUCUAAUCCUAAUCUAAACAUAACUAAAAUUAAUUAAACAAUAAAAAAAAUAUUUAAAUAAUUAUAUUUCACCAUUUAUAAAUAAAUAUAUAAAUUAAAAAAAAAUUUAUUAUUAAACAUAAACACAUUUUAAUUAAUUUUUGCUUAAUAUGU
This 502-nucleotide ribosomal RNA is filed under the name Ceroplastes sp. CCG-AL-14. Its description in RNAcentral is "partial 12S ribosomal RNA". RNAcentral also lists the same sequence under 1 other name. Lineage: Eukaryota; Metazoa; Arthropoda; Insecta; Hemiptera; Coccidae. The record is from RNAcentral.